ACGGGAGGCAGCAGUGGGGAAUAUUGGGCAAUGGGCGCAAGCCUGACCCAGCAACGCCGCGUGAAGGAUGAAGGUCUUCGGAUUGUAAACUUCUUUAAUCGGAGAAGAAAAAAAUGACCUACCCGAAGAAUAAGCCACGGCUAACUACGUGCCAGCAGCCGCGGUAAUACGUAGGUGGCAAGCGUUAUCCGGAUUUACUGGGUGUAAAGGGCGUGUAGGCGGCUCUGCAAGUCAGAAGUGAAAGUCCCGGGCUCAACUGGGGCGCUGCUUCGGAAACUGCAUAACUUGAGUACUGGAGAGGAAAGCGGAAUUCCUAGUGUAGCGGUAAAAUGCGCAGAUAUUAGGAGGAACACCGGUGGCGAAGGCGGCUUUCUGGACGGUAACUGACGCUGAGGCGCGAAAGCGUGGGGAGCAAACAGGAUUAGAUACCCUGGUA
This 436-nucleotide ribosomal RNA is filed under the name uncultured Saccharofermentans sp. RNAcentral's name for it is "bacterial SSU rRNA". It matches the Rfam family "Bacterial small subunit ribosomal RNA", at positions 341 to 792 of the family's 1533-position model. Lineage: Bacteria; Bacillati; Bacillota; Clostridia; Eubacteriales; Oscillospiraceae. The record is from RNAcentral.